UUACAUGUCACCAGCAAGCAAGACAAUGUAUAAAAGAGGAGUCCCCUCCUCAGAAAGCUUAGACCUUAUUCAGUAAUACAAAAUCCUUGUAAAACCCUAUUCUAUUGGAUCUCAGAUCAUCAAUUGGCGCCGUCUGUGGGAAACGAAGGAGAUCUUUUCAUCACCGGAGUUUUCACUUUCAAAACCCACUGAGAUCCACGAUGGCAAACCACCAAGAAAGUAACCCUAAUAUUCCAAAUGACCUGAGCUCUGCCCAAGAGGGGCAGCAGUUCUCCUUUUCUAGCCCUACAACGUUGAAUAACCAAACACCUAUUUCUCUUAAUCCCUCGCCAAGCUUGGCAGGGAAUACUCCCACCAUGACCCUGUCUAACCAAGACAUUCAAACCAUGGCUCUCCAGCUACAAACCACUGCUCACUGGUUGGGGCAGAUAAUGCAACAAAGGGGACUUAGCACCCCGGUAAACGCACUCCCAGUAGUGGAGGAACCCAGAACCGAUGAACCCC
This 504-nucleotide long non-coding RNA is filed under the name Manihot esculenta (cassava). RNAcentral's name for it is "long non-coding RNA (MESC_LNC000850)". Lineage: Eukaryota; Viridiplantae; Streptophyta; Magnoliopsida; Malpighiales; Euphorbiaceae. The record is from RNAcentral.